GCCUAUUUCUAUCUCUCCCCCUCGUGUGUGUGUGUGUGCGCGCGCGCGCACUACUCCACCCAGUGGUACGGGGGAAGCCUUAUAUAGGGAUUUUUGGAAUACUUAACACGAGGAUGUGGACGGAGCAGCAGUGCUAGGCAGGCGCAGACACAACCGGGGCUGGAAUGUGGAUCCAGAGCGCCAGAGUUUAUGAAAUCCCAGAAGUCCUUCCUUCCCAUGACUUUUUCCAUAGUACACAGUGAGAGAACAGCUACAGAGAGAGGAUUCGGAAGCUGACAGCUGAGUGUUUGAGAGCAGUGUGUCAUCUCACCUUGCCGCUGUGCUCCGACCCACUGCAGUCUACCCCUGGUCCCCUGCACAGAAGCCGAGGUCUCACCGCUCAGUCCCAACUGGAACUUCCAUUUGUGCUACUCCUUUGACCUUUGCGCCUCUGACAUUUGCUCAGUGCACAGUUGAGCCAGUCACACACAAAGUAUGCUUUUUUUUUAAUGUCGCAAUGACAGACGGGGGGAGAGAGAUAUAAUGCAAAAAACAUCACAAUCUAUGAACAGACUGACAUUUGGGACACGAUCUUUCUACUUGGCAUAACAUGGUCAAAUACAUUCCACUAGACAGGCUUCAAGAGAGUUAUCCUAGCAAUUCUGAGGUGUGCCAUGAUUUGAAACAGCAUGUGAAAAUUGUUAGUGUACAAACAAAUGUCCAUGGUGAUAAAGGUCAUCUUUUAGAA
Non-coding RNA from Electrophorus electricus (electric eel), 727 nucleotides. NCBI's taxonomy places the organism in Eukaryota, Metazoa, Chordata, Actinopteri, Gymnotiformes, Gymnotidae. The record is from RefSeq and is a predicted model, not a curated record.